Molecule: ribosomal RNA, 352 nt
Filed under: uncultured bacterium
Lineage: Bacteria
Description: bacterial SSU rRNA
Rfam family: Bacterial small subunit ribosomal RNA
Source: RNAcentral
AAGUGUAGCAAUACAUGAGUAAAGCGGCGCACGGGUGAGUAGCACGUGGAUAACCUGCCUCAAAGUGGGGAAUAACACCGGGAAACCGGUGCUAAUACCGCAUAUUCUGAUGAGAUCUGUGGAUUUUGUCAGUAAAGGAGCAAUUCGCUAUGAGAGGGGUCCGCGGCUGAUUAGCUAGUUGGUGAGGUAAUGGCUCACCAAGGCAACGAUCAGUAGCCGGUCUGAGAGGACGGUCGGCCACACUGGAACUGAGACACGGUCCAGACUCCUACGGGAGGCAGCAGUGGGGAAUUUUUCGCAAUGGGGGCAACCCUGACGAAGCAAUGCCGCGUGGAUGAUGAAGUAUUUCGGU